Molecule: non-coding RNA, 311 nt
Organism: Durio zibethinus
Lineage: Eukaryota; Viridiplantae; Streptophyta; Magnoliopsida; Malvales; Malvaceae
Source: RefSeq, a predicted model, not a curated record
AACCACUAAAUUUCUUUCUCAAAGUUCUCAGCUGAGCUUACCAUCAGUUCCCAAACCUUGGCCGAGGCAAGGGAGUGAAAAUGACAGCAGACGAAGCAGCGGGUCCGCCCGGCCCCAGAGUCCUCCGCCUCCUCAUCUUCGUCGGCGCCGGAUUUCUCUUUACCAUCGGAAUUAACAAAUGGCGAGAGCUAGAGCGAAAAUCGAUUCAACAACGACAAGGAAUUCAUCAGCAACAGGAAAUUUUAAGUUCUGCUAAUGCUACAACUAAACCCAUCAAAUAAUCUCUCAGGUUUUUAAUUUUGAAAAAAAAA